This is a long non-coding RNA of Molossus molossus (Pallas's mastiff bat), 287 nucleotides long. RefSeq lists it as uncharacterized. Lineage: Eukaryota; Metazoa; Chordata; Mammalia; Chiroptera; Molossidae. The transcript has 3 exons. The record is from RefSeq and is a predicted model, not a curated record.
AUCUCUUCAUCGUCAUCGCUUCAUCAUUGAACAAGUUGCACUAGUUUCAUAGUGAGUUUCCAUGACAUGUAAGAUUUAUAACGGGAAUGGGAAACAUACAGACAGUGAGGAGAGUACAAGUCAACCUCAUGCUUCUGAGGAGGCUUUGGAACAUCUUGGUGUAUUACAGAGGGCAUUGGAGCUGGGCCCAUUAGGCCCAUAGACCCAGACUGUGGAUAUCUUCUCAGAUACAGAAUGCAGAGUUGGAAUAAACAUUCUUGGCCACUGAAAAAUCCCCACAUUUCCUC